ACCUAUCGCCCGCACCUACGAGCGACCUCUCCUCUCGAUCCACCCCCUCCUGUGCGACCGCUCUCUUUCCCUCUCCUCGGAUGCGGCGCCGCCCCCAUCUCUCGCUCCGCCGCCACCGCCCCCCGCCUUCCCCUACCUCCCGCUCAGCCACGUCCACCACCCCCACCCUUCUCCCCAUUGCCGUAUCCGCUUGCAGAUCGUCAAGGUUAGGCAGCGGAGCUCCACAUCCGUGACCCGUGCGUGCUUGUCAAGGAAGCUGCUCCUGGAUCUGCGCUUGCGCGGCUGUGGCGGAAGGGACUCGAGGUGGCCGCCGUCGCCGCGGAAGACCAAUCCCCCACCUUGUCCAGAAUCUCUUCCUCCGCCAUGUUCCAACGAGGAAGGAGGGGGCGGCUCAAAGUCUCCCUCGUUGCCGCCUACAGCUGCAGCCGCCGCCAUGGGUGAGCUCCUCCUACACGACCAGUUUUGAUGGAUUCGUGGGCACAUGCAUGUAUAGCGGCCGGUGCGGCCGGCGGUCGUGCGGCGUCUCGUCCCCAAUGUCAAAUAAAUUGGUGCCUGUAUAUUAUAGAAGUAAGACACUUGAAAAUAGAUUCAGCGUGGUUCCUGCACUCCCAACUUUUCAUGGUCGACCUCACAUCAGAAAACAAUUAUUCAUCAUGGGCAGUCAUGGUUGUUCGCGACUCUGCAAGAAGAUGAUCGACGGUCGGCAGCUCGGCUGCUUCAUUGCCAUCUUCAACGAGCACCGUCCGACACGAUUUUUCGCUGGCAUGUACCAUCGAAUGUCACUGCUUUUAUCAUGGCAUCCAACACUUGCAGUUGUGACUCAAAAGGGAGUUCUGAAGCUGAUAAACUUGGAUGGCCUGACAGUCUACCAUACCAACAACCAUCUCCAAGGACACGAACUUGAUAAGUUUCUAAGAUUCAUACACACCUUCAGGUCAGAUACCUACUUUGUUCUCUAGAUUUCCUAUGCAUUUUAAGAGGAUGAGCCGCCCAUAUAUUCAUGAGGAAAUGAUGGAGGUGACCCUAUUUAAAAUGAACUUUCAUAAAUUUUUUUCCAAGAAAAGAUCAGGGUGCCGAUAGGGUUUCUAUUAUGUUUCAGGAGAAAUUUGGAUCUUUUUGGACAGUUAUUGCAACCAUCUUUCGGAAUGAGUAUAAAAAGAAUGCUAUGAGUAUGAUGUAAUCUGUGGAGGUGUCUUCAGGAUCGGUGGUGCAUCGGAAAAGAUGACAUGAAGGAGUUGUGCAUGUUUUACCUUCGACUACAUACUACAUAUGGUUGCAACCAACCUUAACAGCAUAACCUCGCUACAUCAAUCGUUGAGUUCCACUUAAAGAAAUGGUAAACAUAGAUCUAAAACUUGACAAUUUGAACCCUUGAUUGACGCAAGAGAUUGAAGAUACAACUCAUGGAAUCUGAAGAAUUAGAAAAAUGGUCAAAAUUCAUUUUUAUUUCAAAAGUGGAUAGUUGACUUUUUUAUUUAACUGACUCUGAACGUCCAAGGUAUCUGUUUUAUUCUACUAUGGACUUUAUUGCCGCAUUAGCAUAUAUUUUUUUGCGAGAUGCUGCAUUAUCAUUUAUGUUCUUGCAUAUUCUGUUGGUCCUUAAUGCUGCCACUGACGACCAAGUGCUGCAUAUUUAUUUCUCUUUAUAGGAAAAUGUAACACAUACAACUAUGAUUAACACAUUCUUUUUAGUAUUUGCAUUGGCAUUAUUUUGUCACUGGACAAUUUUUUGUCACAUAUAAUGAUGUUUAUGAAUCUGUUCAUGUAUUUUCGAGCUUUAGAUGAGUAUAUAUACUACCAACCCUUGCUUGUCCUUUCAGACUAGGCCUACCAAGCUACCACAAGGUCACCUCAGUUGAUUUUAGACUAGGCGAGCUCCUGGAUAGCCUUUGCAAUUCGAUGCUCGGGAUGCGGUGGCAUGUGAGAGGACAAGCAGGCGUGGGGCUAUUUAUGGUUGUCUGAUCAUUGUACUUUGGGACAUUGUACUUUUAGGACGUAAUGUGCACUUCUGGUUGUUAUUUUAAAUUGCCCAUGUCUUCAUAUGUCUUUCAAAUUCUUGACAUCUGCACUAAUAGCCUAAACCUCCAUGGCAUGAUCCAUCGGAGUAUUUUGUUUGUUGUACAAUUUUCAAGUGCGACCUUCCAAUUUAUGUUGUAACUGAUAGGUUUGGCACCUCAGAUAAGUUCUUGAAAUACCAAUGUCAUAUUUGGAUUAGAAAAAUAAGAUUUAGUUCGAUCAUGCAUGCAAUUGCAAUAACCCUACUCUGAGCUUUUAUAUACUGGUUAAAAUAGUUAAAUCUUCUAGAUUCUUUUGCAUAUUUUCUUGGAAUUAUAUUGGUCUAUGAGAGCACCUUAGUUUUCACUAAGCGAUAAAAUACAGUUUCUAUUUCCGUAAUACAGGUCAUUAGUGGUCACUUGGGAUGGGUGUGAUCUGUAGCAUUUGAUCCAGGGAACAGAUGGUUUUGUCUUGGUUCUGCUGAUAGGGCAAUAACGGCAAGGAAGAAGGUUGUAGAGUGCGGAUGGAUGUGAAAAGGAAGAGGAUGGAUGCGAGAAGAGAGAAGAGGGGUGAAAGAGGAUAUGGCUAGAAAGAGGGAGAAGGACAGGGUGGAGGCGCUUCUUGAGGAUUUUUGUCUGACUGAUUUCAUACUCUCUUAUAAAUCAUGGUUAGCUAGGUAAAUCUUUUGUACAACAGCUCUUGUUCAAAAGUUUGAUCUUUCGGCUUCUUAUUUUAGGUCAAUAUCAAGUACAGUUUAGUUAAUUUAUAUUAAUGUUUAUGUUUGAAA
Aegilops tauschii subsp. strangulata is the source of this 2782-nucleotide non-coding RNA. NCBI's taxonomy places the organism in Eukaryota, Viridiplantae, Streptophyta, Magnoliopsida, Poales, Poaceae. The record is from RefSeq and is a predicted model, not a curated record.